GUGGAUUAGAUACCCUGGUAGUCCACGCUGUAAACGAUGGAUACUAGGUGUGGGAGGUAUCGACCCCUUCCGUGCCGCAGUAAACGCAAUAAGUAUCCCGCCUGGGGAGUACGGCCGCAAGGUUGAAACUCAAAGGAAUUGACGGGGGCCCGCACAAGCAGCGGAGCAUGUGGUUUAAUUCGAAGCAACGCGAAGAACCUUACCAGAACUUGACAUCCCUUGCAUUACUCUUAACCGAGGAAAUCCUUCGGGACAAGGAGACAGGUGGUGCAUGGCCGUCGUCAACU
This 287-nucleotide ribosomal RNA is filed under the name uncultured bacterium. RNAcentral's name for it is "partial 16S ribosomal RNA". It matches the Rfam family "Bacterial small subunit ribosomal RNA", at positions 773 to 1060 of the family's 1533-position model. The record is from RNAcentral.